CUCGUAGGCGGCUCGUCGCGUCCGGUGUGAAAGUCCAUCGCUUAACGGUGGAUCUGCGCCGGGUACGGGCGGGCUGGAGUGCGGUAGGGGAGACUGGAAUUCCCGGUGUAACGGUGGGAUGUGUAGAUAUCGGGAAGAACACCGAUGGCGAAGGCAGGUCUCUGGGCCGUCACUGACGCUGAGGAGCGAAAGCGUGGGGAGCGAAACA
This 208-nucleotide ribosomal RNA is filed under the name uncultured bacterium. Its description in RNAcentral is "partial 16S ribosomal RNA". It matches the Rfam family "Bacterial small subunit ribosomal RNA", at positions 568 to 775 of the family's 1533-position model. The record is from RNAcentral.